This is a non-coding RNA of Gasterosteus aculeatus aculeatus (three-spined stickleback), 1199 nucleotides long. NCBI's taxonomy places the organism in Eukaryota, Metazoa, Chordata, Actinopteri, Perciformes, Gasterosteidae. The record is from RefSeq and is a predicted model, not a curated record.
CAACAUUACGAGAAAGAUGGCGAACGGAGAGCAAGGUCUCGAAGAGCACUCUGGAUGAAGAGCAGAAACAAAGUCUUCUGGGAGAGAGAUGUUUUAACCGUAUUUGAUGACGAGGACUGGAAACCGAACUUUCGCAUGACUCGAGGAUCUUUCCACAAGUUGUGUGGAAUUAUGAAAGGAGUCAUGAAGCCCGCGGAGGUGACUGUUCGAGCACCAAUACCGCUGUCCUCCAAGGCGUAGUGGACGACAUGUAUUGGUAAGUUUGGUCCAAAUACAUUUAGUUGUCUGCACUGUGCAACGUGAAUGCUUACUGAUAUGUUCAAUUCACCGCGACCUCAGGCCUGCGUGUGCGUGUUUGUGUGUGUGUCCUGACCAAAAGUAAGUCGUACUCUGAAGACAUAUUAAUGUAUGGGUAAAAUCAAUAAGAUCAAUAAAUGAGUGAAGCUACUGAAAGUUAUUCAUGCAGAAACUAGUGGAGCUACCACCAAGCUAUUGAGAUUUCUAGGUAUGUUACAAGCUUAAAGUAGUAUGAUGUUUUAAAGAGGCUUUAUUAGGUUUUUAUGUAUAUUAUGUUUUAUUUAUGCUGAGCCAUUUAGUAAGCAAGUCCAACACUGGUAACCAUUUCUGUUUCUCCUCCCAGGAACCAAGAGAAAUCGAUGGCGUCUCAAUCGGUCACUUCCUGUUGGUAGAUCCAGCGUAUCCUCUCAUGGACUGGAUCAUGAAAGGCUACACCCAUUCCCCAAACAUCACCCCUGAGCAAGAGUCCUUCAAUGUCUACUUAAGCUCUGCAAGGACCACGGUGGAGAUUGCGUUUGGGAGACUGAAGUCACGCUGGAGAGAGCGUAGUGACUUCCACUUUACAUUCACCUCUAAAGUGAUUGCUACCUGUUGUGCAUUGCACAAUUUCUGUGAGAAUGAGAAGGAAGUUGUGAAUCCCAACCGGUCAGUGGAAGCGGCUACACUUGCAUCGAACCUGCCACAGCCAGGUGGUCGUGCCAACAAUCACGCAGACAACACAAAUGGACAGAGGAUCAGAGCCGACCUCACAGAUUACCUGAGUGCAAACUUCCCCCUGCGCUGACCAUACCUUUAGACGUCUUCAUUACAUAAUUGCCAGUUUGUCAUAGGUUUGUAAAUACAAUUCUUGUACAGUUCAUGUGUGUUUCAUUCCACAAAUAAAGAAACUCACAGAAGUUUUA